AAAUUGAAGAGUUUGAUCAUGGCUCAGAUUGAACGCUGGCGGCAGGCCUAACACAUGCAAGUCGAACGGUAACAGGAAGCAGCUUGCUGCUUUGCUGUCGAGUGGCGGACGGGUGAGUAAUGUCUGGGAAACUGCCUGAUGGAGGGGGAUAACUACUGGAAACGGUGGCUAAUACCGCAUAACGUCGCAAGACCAAAGAGGGGGACCUUCGGGCCUCUUGCCAUCAGAUGUGCCCAGAUGGGAUUAGCUUGUUGGUGAGGUAACGGCUCACCAAGGCGACGAUCCCUAGCUGGUCUGAGAGGAUGACCAGCCACACUGGAACUGAGACACGGUCCAGACUCCUACGGGAGGCAGCAGUGGGGAAUAUUGCACAAUGGGCGCAAGCCUGAUGCAGCCAUGCCGCGUGUAUGAAGAAGGCCUUCGGGUUGUAAAGUACUUUCAGCGGGGAGGAAGGUGUUGUGGUUAAUAACC
This 471-nucleotide ribosomal RNA is filed under the name Salmonella enterica. RNAcentral's name for it is "bacterial SSU rRNA". It matches the Rfam family "Bacterial small subunit ribosomal RNA", at positions 1 to 468 of the family's 1533-position model. Lineage: Bacteria; Pseudomonadati; Pseudomonadota; Gammaproteobacteria; Enterobacterales; Enterobacteriaceae. The record is from RNAcentral.